Molecule: non-coding RNA, 446 nt
Filed under: Pongo abelii (Sumatran orangutan)
Lineage: Eukaryota; Metazoa; Chordata; Mammalia; Primates; Hominidae
Source: RNAcentral
AUGAGGAAAUAGAAGUCCAGAUUGCUCAAAGCUAAUAAUGAUGACAGGAAUCAAAGCCAGAGACAGUAAUAAAUAUGGUUGUUUAUACCUCUGUACCUCAUAAAGACCUCCAAGCAUUCUGUACACCAGCUCAAGAUGACUUGCUUGAAAUGGAAAAAGGCUGUUUUCAGCAGUAGUUAGCCCCUAUACUGGCAGUGUUUCACAGAAAAGGAAAGUGAAGCUUGGAAAAGUGAAUCCACUUGCUCUAAGUGGCAGGAAGAGGUGGCAUUGAACCCCAGGGCUCUUGCAUUCAGUAACUCUUUUGGAAAGAGAAAAGUGCAGCUGACUGAACUGUGAAGCAAAGGAGCUAAGAAGUCUGGAUGCCAACCCCAAGGGUCCUGAAGAGGCCCACUGAGGAGCUCCUUACAGCAGAAAGCCCAUUUCUCAGAGGCACAUACAUGGUCCAG